CGGACGGGUGAGUAAUGUCUGGGAAACGUGCCUGAUGGAGGGGGAUAACUACUGGAAACGGUAGCUAAUACCGCAUAACGUCGCAAGACCAAAGAGGGGGACCUUGGGCCUCUUGCCAUCGGAUGUGCCCAGAUGGGAUUAGCUAGUAGGUGGGGUAAAGGCUCACCUAGGCGACGAUCCCUAGCUGGUCUGAGAGGAUGACCAGCCACACUGGAACUGAGACACGGUCCAG
This 232-nucleotide ribosomal RNA is filed under the name uncultured bacterium. RNAcentral describes it as "partial 16S ribosomal RNA". It matches the Rfam family "Bacterial small subunit ribosomal RNA", at positions 99 to 334 of the family's 1533-position model. The record is from RNAcentral.